This 215-nucleotide long non-coding RNA is filed under the name Nicotiana benthamiana. RNAcentral describes it as "long non-coding RNA (NBEN_LNC007318)". The record is from RNAcentral. Lineage: Eukaryota; Viridiplantae; Streptophyta; Magnoliopsida; Solanales; Solanaceae.
AUACGGGAAAUAUCCAUACCAUCCACCAAAUCGACUGCCGUGCACUCAUUUAUCAGAUGUCGUCCCAACACGUUCACGAAAAAAUGCACUGUACCAGUCAUCUCGACUACCAUAUGGGGAGCAUACCUUGAUAAAGAAUCAAACUGCAUAUUGUACUCUCGCUCACUAAUAUUACCUUGUCUAAGGUUCAAGAACUUAUCAGCUCUAGCUCGUCG